RNAcentral lists this ribosomal RNA (327 nucleotides) under Triticum aestivum (bread wheat). Its description in RNAcentral is "partial small subunit ribosomal RNA". The record is from RNAcentral. Lineage: Eukaryota; Viridiplantae; Streptophyta; Magnoliopsida; Poales; Poaceae.
AUGGGGCUAUCCACGGCUGCGACUACGGGGCAGGCGGAUGGGGUAGGGGGCAGCAGACGGAUGGAGCUCGGGGCGGUGGACGGCCGGAGCUCGCUGUCGGGGCCGGCGGAUGGAUGUCCAGCUGCUACUUGCGGCUCGGCGACUCAGAUCUUCGGCUUGGCAUCGCCGGAACCAACGAUCAGAAGCUGCGCCAGUCCCUUACUGCGCGGUCCCCAGAGACCUCGCCGGCGCACCCGACACCGCGGUGGCUGCCCGUGCCCGAGCCUCCAUGCCGGCGUCAUCGUGGCACGGACGGGAGGCCCUGCCCCGCGAGACGGAGGGAUCUGA